CCCUUGGAAGGAUUAUUUGAGCCAUUCAUCUAAUGAGUCCUGUAGUAGACGUGUGACCUAUUCGUCCAGUUAAUGGCCUUCAAGCUUCUGAUAGUACACUUACAAAGUUUCAUGAUGGAAACCUUCACGUGGAACUCCGAUGAAACGGGCAUUACCAAUGAAGGAACUUCUAUGGGAGAAAUGUUAAGGUGAUUCAUGCAAGGAGAGAUAAAAAGGUUUUGUGCUUCCAUUGCCAAUUUUCAAAGGCAUGUACAUCUAUAAUGAAAAGCUGUAAUGUUGUUGAAUCUCUGUAUAAACGGCAGGCAGCACUGUUAAUGUGGUUAUGUAA
Long non-coding RNA from Magnolia sinica, 328 nucleotides. RefSeq lists it as uncharacterized. NCBI's taxonomy places the organism in Eukaryota, Viridiplantae, Streptophyta, Magnoliopsida, Magnoliales, Magnoliaceae. The record is from RefSeq and is a predicted model, not a curated record. The transcript is spliced from 2 exons.